GCUCAGGAUGAACGCUAGCUACAGGCUUAACACAUGCAAGUCGAGGGGUAGCAGGGUAGCAAUACCGCUGACGACCGGCGCACGGGUGAGUAGCACGUAUCCAACCUUCCCAUAACUCGGGGAUAGCCUUUCGAAAGAAAGAUUAAUACCCGAUAGUACUUAUAUAAGGCAUCUUAAAUAAGUUAGAGAUUUAUUGGUUAUGGAUGGGGAUGCGUUCCAUUAGAUAGUUGGUGAGGUAAUGGCUCACCAAGUCUUCGAUGGAUAGGGGUUCUGAGAGGAAGGUCCCCCACAUUGGUACUGAGACACGGACCAAACUCCUACGGGAGGCAGCAGUGAGGAAUAUUGGUCAAUGGGCGAGAGCCUGAACCAGCCAA
This 374-nucleotide ribosomal RNA is filed under the name uncultured Bacteroidales bacterium. RNAcentral's name for it is "bacterial SSU rRNA". It matches the Rfam family "Bacterial small subunit ribosomal RNA", at positions 22 to 395 of the family's 1533-position model. The record is from RNAcentral. Lineage: Bacteria; Pseudomonadati; Bacteroidota; Bacteroidia; Bacteroidales.